GACGAACGCUGGCGGCAGGCCUAACACAUGCAAGUCGAGCGAGCAUUUCGGUGCUAGCGGCGGACGGGUGAGUAACGCGUGGGAACGUGCCCUUUUCUGCGGAAUAGUCCUGGGAAACUGGGGGUAAUACCGCAUACGCCCUUUUGGGGAAAGAUUUAUCGGAGAAGGAUCGGCCCGCGUUGGAUUAGGUAGUUGGUGGGGUAAUGGCCCACCAAGCCGACGAUCCAUAGCUGGUUUGAGAGGAUGAUCAGCCACACUGGGACUGAGACACGGCCCAGACUCCUACGGGAGGCAGCAGUGGGGAAUCUUAGACAAUGGGGGCAACCCUGAUCUAGCCAUGCCGCGUGAGUGAUGAAGGCCUUAGGGUUGUAAAGCUCUUUCAGCUGGGAAGAUAAUGACGGUACCAGCAGAAGAAGCCCCGGCUAACUCCGUG
Molecule: ribosomal RNA, 433 nt
Filed under: uncultured bacterium
Lineage: Bacteria
Description: partial 16S ribosomal RNA
Rfam family: Bacterial small subunit ribosomal RNA
Source: RNAcentral